This 88-nucleotide small RNA is filed under the name Flavobacteriaceae bacterium 3519-10. Its description in RNAcentral is "Flavo-1 RNA". It matches the Rfam family "Flavo-1 RNA". The record is from Rfam by way of RNAcentral. Lineage: Bacteria; Pseudomonadati; Bacteroidota; Flavobacteriia; Flavobacteriales; Flavobacteriaceae.
UUAUAGCCACGAUCGCAGCGGCAUCCUUUUUUGGUAGCUGAGGUUCUGGAAGCUUCCAAGAAAGAUACAGCGGAGAGCGGGUAUUAGG